CAACCCACACGCUCUUUCUACUCUUCUUCUUUUCACUUGGCAUUCAGCCAUUUAUGAUGGACUAGAAUCACUAGAUGUUGCAGCUACUCUGCACUGUGAUUUAUAGCUAAAUGUUUCUGAUUCGCACAAUCACCUAUUUAAUAUUUAUGAUUAACGACGUGCUAAAGAGAGAGAUAGAAAGAAAAAAUAAAUGAAGAUUAUAUAGGAGAGAAAGUGUGAUUGAAGAACAAAUAUGUCGGUUUGAACAGGUAGGGAAUUUUUUUAAUGCAAAACAAAAAUCACUAAACUAGGGGACUAAAACUGCAUUAAAGCCAUUUAUUUAUGCAGCAGCAGGUAAAAUUAGGUGGUGUUUUGGUAAAGAACUCUUGAGGUGCUUCACUAUCCUAAGCAAACACCGAGCAAAUCACUAACUAAAGAAGCUCCUUCAGCUAUAAAAGAAGACCACUUGGAGCAGCAUUCAACCCAAUAACUAGCACCAUCUCCUCCUUCUUCACCAUCUCUCUGAAAUCUUAUCAUCCAACCAACUUCCGAUUUCAUCCUCUUCCCCUGUUACUCCCAGGAACUGGUAUGUACGUGUAUUCAAAUAUGACACCAACGUCACAUUUGAGUACAUUGUAUAUACCAAUUCUUCCGACUAACAAAAACCACACCUAGAAAAGUUUCCAAUAGAUUGGGAAUGUGAAAAGUGAGCUUGUAUUACAUGUAUGGUUUAUUAGUGCUUGUUUAUGAAUGAUGAGCUAUAUAUGUUAAUGAAUGAAGAAUGGCAUUGGCAAUCUUACACCCUUGAUCUUUAAGUUUGAACUUUUUCACUUAGCAUUGUUUUUUCUUCCACAUGCCCCAUGUUCAAUGGGGCUAAAGAUUGCUGUGACAUAAAAAAUUAGAUGUUACUUGAGUUGUGCCUCGGAUUGUUUGCGCGCAGUGGAGGUUUUUCGGGAUCAUGUUGAUGUAUUUACUUUCUGGGCCAAAAAUGCAAUCCAGUGUAUUAGAUGCUGAUCAAUAGAGCUUGGAAGGUUUCAGUGAUUCAUAUCCCCAAAGAGAUGAAUAAUGCAGAAGACUUCUUGGCCCGUCAGGCUUCUAGAGAUGGCUCCGCUCGCCGUAUUUGAAAGACUCCUCCUUCUGUGUUGUUGCUUCUCUUUGCCUUGAAGUUGUAACUUAGUUCUGUUUCUUUUAGUCUUCUUCUUGUAACCAAAAAAAGAAGUGGUUCUUCAGUGAAUACUAAACAUUAUCAUUUUCCUGUUU
This is a long non-coding RNA of Lotus japonicus, 1239 nucleotides long. RefSeq lists it as uncharacterized. Lineage: Eukaryota; Viridiplantae; Streptophyta; Magnoliopsida; Fabales; Fabaceae. The record is from RefSeq and is a predicted model, not a curated record. The transcript has 2 exons.